This is a non-coding RNA of Exocentrus adspersus, 71 nucleotides long. Lineage: Eukaryota; Metazoa; Arthropoda; Insecta; Coleoptera; Cerambycidae. The record is from the annotation of a GenBank genome assembly.
GGCCGGAUGGCGCAACGGUAGCGCAGAAGAUUCAGAUCUCAAGGUUGUAGGUUCGAAUCCUGCUUCGGUCA